AGUAGGUUGUUUUCAUCAAUCUCCCUCUCAUUCUGAGAUCUGUUUGAUUGAGAAUAGGGAGGGAUGCUGUAAUACUAUGGACUUGGCUUAUUUUCCAAGAACACGGCCCACAUGGAGCUUACAGGAAAGGUUUGAAGAGUUAUGACUUGGAAACAUAAUUCUGAUAGCUGAGUAUAUAAAUAUAAUAUCUGUAAUAAAGACUUUCCCUUAGUGGCAAAUGACAAUUCAGUUAUAUUGGAAUUACAUCAGUUUCCAUUACUUCGAGCGUGACUUCUGCUGUUCGGUGAACGCUGUAGCAACACAAAGAUAUGACAAUGCCUGUGUCUUUUAACAUGGAAAUCAUACCUCAGCUUUACAGAAUCACAGAAGAGUUGAGGUAGGAAGGCAUCUCUGGAGAUCAUCUAGUCCAAAGCCCCUGCUCAAAACAGGCAGCUACAGCAGGUUCUUCAGGACCAUAUCCAGAUGUGUUGUGAGCUGUUCUCAGGAACGGAGACUCCCAAACCUCUCUGGGCCAUCUCUUCCAUGCUUAACAACUCUCAUGGUCCGUGGAACUCAUGAUGACUCAGACAGGGUGACAGGAGUCACAUUCAGAGAGAUGUACCAGGGCAGAAGCACUGCAAGUUACUUCUGCUUCUACAGCAAAUUCUGAGCUGGUUCUCAGCUGUGUCUGUAAUAACUGCUAGCGUACCUUACCUACACAGUAUCUAUUUGAAAUUCUGUGCUUCAGUUUCAGUUUUUGCAACAAGCAGUAACCUACACAAAUGAACCAUAUUAUGAGGCCUUCCAAUUCCUCGCGCUCAAAAGCACAUCUUCAUGCUUUUUGCUUUUGUGUUUCUUUUGGUAUCACAUAUGGCAGCAAAGUUGACAUCAAUUAGAAUGUAUUUUAAAGAAGAGGUCUGAUGCGUUUGUAAAAU
Molecule: long non-coding RNA, 914 nt
Filed under: Gallus gallus (chicken)
Lineage: Eukaryota; Metazoa; Chordata; Aves; Galliformes; Phasianidae
Description: lncRNA (ENSGALG00010015053.1)
Source: RNAcentral